GACGAACGCUGGCGGCGUGCUUAACACAUGCCAGUCGAACGGAAAGGCCCUGCUUUUGUGGGGUGCUCGAGUGGCGAACGGGUGAGUAACACGUGAGUAACCUGCCCUUGACUUUGGGAUAACUUCAGGAAACUGGGGCUAAUACCGGAUAGGAGCUCCUGCUGCAUGGUGGGGGUUGGAAAGUUUCGGCGGUUGGGGAUGGACUCGCGGCUUAUCAGCUUGUUGGUGGGGUAGUGGCUUACCAAGGCUUUGACGGGUAGCCGGCCUGAGAGGGUGACCGGCCACAUUGGGACUGAGAUACGGCCCAGACUCCUACGGGAGGCAGCAGUGGGGAAUAUUGCACAAUGGGCGGAAGCCUGAUGCAGCAACGCCGCGUGCGGGAUGACGGACUUCGGGUUGUAAACCGCUUUCGCCUGUGACGAAGCGUGAGUGACGGUAAUGGGUAAAGAAGCACCGGCUAACUACGUG
RNAcentral lists this ribosomal RNA (468 nucleotides) under uncultured bacterium. Its description in RNAcentral is "partial 16S ribosomal RNA". It matches the Rfam family "Bacterial small subunit ribosomal RNA", at positions 28 to 507 of the family's 1533-position model. The record is from RNAcentral.